This 284-nucleotide ribosomal RNA is filed under the name uncultured bacterium. RNAcentral describes it as "partial 16S ribosomal RNA". It matches the Rfam family "Bacterial small subunit ribosomal RNA", at positions 333 to 633 of the family's 1533-position model. The record is from RNAcentral.
UUGGUCCUACGGGAGGCAGCAGUCGGGAAUAUUGCGCAAUGGAGGAAACUCUGACGCAGUGACGCCGCGUAUAGGAAGAAGGUUUUCGGAUUGUAAACUAUUGUCGUUAGGGAAGAUAAAAGACUGUACCUAAGGAGGAAGCCCCGGCUAACUAUGUGCCAGCAGCCGCGGUAAUACAUAGGGGGAAAGCGUUAUCCGGAAUUAUUGGGUGUAGAGGGUGCGUAGACGGAAGAACAAGUUGGUUGUGAAAUCCCUCGGCUCAACUGAGGAACUGCAACCAACAC